Molecule: ribosomal RNA, 515 nt
Filed under: uncultured bacterium
Lineage: Bacteria
Description: partial 16S ribosomal RNA
Rfam family: Bacterial small subunit ribosomal RNA
Source: RNAcentral
GAUGAACGCUGGCGGCGUGCCUAAUACAUGCAAGUCGAGCGAAUGGAUUGAGAGCUUGCUCUUAUGAAGUUAGCGGCGGACGGGUGAGUAACACGUGGGUAACCUGCCCAUAAGACUGGGAUAACUCCGGGAAACCGGGGCUAAUACCGGAUAACAUUUUGAACCGCAUGGUUCGAAAUUGAAAGGCGGCUUCGGCUGUCACUUAUGGAUGGACCCGCGUCGCAUUAGCUAGCUGGUGAGGUAACGGCUCACCAAGGCAACGAUGCGUAGCCGACCUGAGAGGGUGAUCGGCCACACUGGGACUGAGACACGGCCCAGACUCCUACGGGAGGCAGCAGUGGGGAAUUGUUCGCAAUGGGCGCAAGCCUGACGACGCAACGCCGCGUGGAGGAUGAAGAUCUUCGGGUCGUAAACUCCUGUCGAGCGGGAAGAACACUUUCCGGAUGAACAAUCCGGAAGGCUGACGGUACCGCUAAAGGAAGCCCCGGCUAACUCCGUGCCAGCCGCCGCCGUAA